Molecule: ribosomal RNA, 255 nt
Filed under: uncultured Bdellovibrio sp.
Lineage: Bacteria; Pseudomonadati; Bdellovibrionota; Bdellovibrionia; Bdellovibrionales; Pseudobdellovibrionaceae
Description: partial 16S ribosomal RNA
Rfam family: Bacterial small subunit ribosomal RNA
Source: RNAcentral
GGUCCUUUCGGGGAUAGUGGCGGACGGGUGAGUAACGCGUGAGAAUCUGCCUUUAGGACGGGGACAACAGUUGGAAACGGCUGCUAAAACCCGAUGUGCCCUUCGGGGUGAAAUAUUUAUAGCCUGAAGAUGAGCUCGCGUCUGAUUAGCUAGUAGGUGAGGUAAAGGCUCACCUAGGCGACGAUCAGUAACUGGUCUGAGAGGAUGACCAGUCACACUGGAACUGAGACACGGUCCAGACUCCUACGGGAGGCA